Molecule: ribosomal RNA, 402 nt
Filed under: uncultured bacterium
Lineage: Bacteria
Description: bacterial SSU rRNA
Rfam family: Bacterial small subunit ribosomal RNA
Source: RNAcentral
AACGAACGCUGGCGGCGCGCCUAACACAUGCAAGUCGAACGAGAAGGCGUAGCAAUACGCUUGUAGAGUGGCGAACGGGUGAGUAAUACGUGGGUGACCUACCCUCGAGUGGGGAAUAACCCGCCGAAAGGCGGGCUAAUGCCGCGUACGCUUCCGUCCUCACGGGGACGGAAGGAAAGCUGUACCGUGGGUACGGCGCUCAAGGAUGGGCUCACGUCCUAUCAGCUUGUUGGUAGGGUAACGGCCACCAAGGCUACGACGGGUAGCUGGUCUGAGAGGACGAUCAGCCACACUGGCACUGCGACACGGGCCAGACUCCUACGGGAGGCAGCAGUGAGGAAUAUUGCGCAAUGGGCGAAAGCCUGACGCAGCGACGCCGCGGUGGGGAGUGAAGGUCUUCGG